UGCAAGUCGAGCGGACCGAACGGAAGCUUGCUUCUGUUCGGUUAGCGGCGGACGGGUGAGUAACACGUGGGUAACCUGCCCGUAAGACCGGGAUAACUCCGGGAAACCGGGGCUAAUACCGGAUAACACCGAAGACCGCAUGGUCUUUGGUUGAAAGGUGGCUUUUGCUACCACUUACGGAUGGGCCCGCGGCGCAUUAGCUAGUUGGUGAGGUAACGGCUCACCAAGGCGACGAUGCGUAGCCGGCCUGAGAGGGUGACCGGCCACACUGGGACUGAGACACGGCCCAGACUCCUACGGGAGGCAGCAGUAGGGAAUCUUCCGCAAUGGACGAAAGUCUGACGGAGCGACGCCGCGUGAGCGAAGAAGGUCUUCGGAUCGUAAAGCUCUGUUGUUAGGGAAGAAGAAGUACCGUUCGAAUAGGGCGGUACGGUGACGGUACCUAACGAGAAAGCCCCGGCUAACUACGUGCCAGCAGCCGCGGUAAUACGUAGGGGGCGAGCGUUGUCCGGAAUUAUUGGGCGUAAAGCGCGCGCAGGCGGUCCCUUAAGUCUGAUGUGAAAGCCCACGGCUCAACCGUGGAGGGUCAUUGGAAACUGGGGGACUUGAGUGCAGAAGAGGAGAGCGGAAUUCCACGUGUAGCGGUGAAAUGCGUAGAGAUGUGGAGGAACACCAGUGGCGAAGGCGGCUCUCUGGUCUGUAACUGACGCUGAGGCGCGAAAGCGUGGGGAGCAAACAGGAUUAGAUACCCUGGUAGUCCACGCCGUAAACGAUGAGUGCUAAGUGUUAGAGGGGUUUUCCCUUUAGUGCUGUAGCUAACGCGUUAAGCACUCCGCCCGGGGAGUACGGCCGCAAGGCUGAAACUCAAAGGAAUUGACGGGGGCCCGCACAAACCGUGGAGCAUGUGGUUU
This 911-nucleotide ribosomal RNA is filed under the name Parageobacillus toebii. RNAcentral describes it as "bacterial SSU rRNA". It matches the Rfam family "Bacterial small subunit ribosomal RNA", at positions 56 to 947 of the family's 1533-position model. Lineage: Bacteria; Bacillati; Bacillota; Bacilli; Caryophanales; Anoxybacillaceae. The record is from RNAcentral.